UAUAAAAGUCAGGAAAGUUUACAUGUGAUGUAACACUAUUGUACCCUCCAUGAUAACUCUGCACACUUAUCCCAAUUAUGUUCUCUCAAGCUGUUUUGUUUGUCUUAAAUCCAAGGCGCAACCCAGGAUCGCCCUGGAUACUGGCUGCCAUGUCUCUAGUUUCUCGAUCUAGAGCAGAGGUCUGCAAACUUGACUGUGAAGGGCCUGAUAGUGGCAGAGCCAGAACUGGAGCCCUGGCCUGUUGACGCAGUGACUAUACGCCAUGCUCUGUGCUGCUCUGCCUGCUCCUGUCCACAUGCUUGUGCGACUAGAAUUCUUGCCCGCUCGCCCCAGGCCAGUAGCUAUCUUCAAGUCAGUGUUACAGCAUGAAGGGCAUGGGAGGGACUGGAUGAGGUCUUUCACUUGCUUUUCUUCUGACGCAACUACUGUGCUCUGAGGGUGAGGCUGAGA
Molecule: long non-coding RNA, 450 nt
Organism: Miniopterus natalensis
Lineage: Eukaryota; Metazoa; Chordata; Mammalia; Chiroptera; Miniopteridae
Source: RefSeq, a predicted model, not a curated record